GGCUCGCAGGGAGAGCAUGGACCAAAGGGAGACCCUGGCUCUUAUGGAAUUAAAGGAGGAAAAGGAGAUCCCGGGAGGGACGGCGAACCAGGACGACCUGGAAACUAUGGACCAUUGGGCCCAAAGGGUGAUCCAGGCCCUCGUGGUCCUGACGGGGACAAAGGAGAGCGCGGCGAAGAUG
This is a non-coding RNA of Neolamprologus brichardi, 181 nucleotides long. NCBI's taxonomy places the organism in Eukaryota, Metazoa, Chordata, Actinopteri, Cichliformes, Cichlidae. The record is from RefSeq and is a predicted model, not a curated record.